Molecule: ribosomal RNA, 1278 nt
Filed under: Flavobacterium sp.
Lineage: Bacteria; Pseudomonadati; Bacteroidota; Flavobacteriia; Flavobacteriales; Flavobacteriaceae
Description: bacterial SSU rRNA
Rfam family: Bacterial small subunit ribosomal RNA
Source: RNAcentral
UGCAGUCGAGGGGUAGAAGUCUUCGGACUUUGAGACCGGCGCACGGGUGCGUAACGCGUAUGCAAUCUGCCUUUCACAGAGGGAUAGCCCAGAGAAAUUUGGAUUAAUACCUCAUAGUAUUACGACUCGGCAUCGAGAUGUAAUUAAAGUCACAACGGUGAAAGAUGAGCAUGCGUCCCAUUAGCUAGUUGGUAAGGUAACGGCUUACCAAGGCUACGAUGGGUAGGGGUCCUGAGAGGGAGAUCCCCCACACUGGUACUGAGACACGGACCAGACUCCUACGGGAGGCAGCAGUGAGGAAUAUUGGUCAAUGGGCGCAAGCCUGAACCAGCCAUGCCGCGUGCAGGAUGACGGUCCUAUGGAUUGUAAACUGCUUUUGUACGAGAAGAAACACUGAUUCGUGAAUCAGCUUGACGGUAUCGUAAGAAUAAGGAUCGGCUAACUCCGUGCCAGCAGCCGCGGUAAUACGGAGGAUCCAAGCGUUAUCCGGAAUCAUUGGGUUUAAAGGGUCCGUAGGCGGUCAUGUAAGUCAGUGGUGAAAGCCCAUCGCUCAACGGUGGAACGGCCAUUGAUACUGCUUGACUUGAAUUAUUAGGAAGUAACUAGAAUAUGUAGUGUAGCGGUGAAAUGCUUAGAUAUUACAUGGAAUACCAAUUGCGAAGGCAGGUUACUACUAAUUGAUUGACGCUGAUGGACGAAAGCGUGGGGAGCGAACAGGAUUAGAUACCCUGGUAGUCCACGCCGUAAACGAUGGAUACUAGCUGUUGGGAGCAAUUUCAGUGGCUAAGCGAAAGUGAUAAGUAUCCCACCUGGGGAGUACGAACGCAAGUUUGAAACUCAAAGGAAUUGACGGGGGCCCGCACAAGCGGUGGAGCAUGUGGUUUAAUUCGAUGAUACGCGAGGAACCUUACCAAGGCUUAAAUGCAGACUGACCGAUUUGGAAACAGAUCUUUCGCAAGACAGUUUACAAGGUGCUGCAUGGUUGUCGUCAGCUCGUGCCGUGAGGUGUCAGGUUAAGUCCUAUAACGAGCGCAACCCCUGUUGUUAGUUGCCAGCGAGUCAUGUCGGGAACUCUAACAAGACUGCCAGUGCAAACUGUGAGGAAGGUGGGGAUGACGUCAAAUCAUCACGGCCCUUACGCCUUGGGCUACACACGUGCUACAAUGGCCGGUACAGAGAGCAGCCACUGGGUGACCAGGAGCGAAUCUAUAAAGCCGGUCACAGUUCGGAUCGGAGUCUGCAACUCGACUCCGUGAAGCNGGAAUCGCUAGUAAUCGG